AUUACUUUGUCUGCUUCCAGUCUCUUCAAGGCUCCUGCCCGUGAGUUCCGUGAUGGAGGGCUAUCCUUUGAGCUCAGUCAUUCAACAACAGGGGCUUGUUUUACAGUUUCAGGUCAGUGAGUGAAGUGCAUAGAGGAAGAGUGUUUUGUCCGUUUUGCUGGAGCCGUGCAUCCCCUGAGCAAGCGUCCCAGGAGCUUCUGCUGACUCUCCUGGUUUCCGAGGGAACCCUUUUGGCCAUGGUGAGGGCUGCGCUCCCUUCUCUGCCUUGCGGUCAACCAUGAGCGGAUGGGUGUGAUGCCUGCUAGCCUAAAGGGUACUUAGGAAAAGCUUCUGUUGCCAGGGACUCUGCUGGAUCGUGAGGAGGCAUGUCCUUCCACACCAGGAGG
Molecule: long non-coding RNA, 386 nt
Filed under: Mus spicilegus (steppe mouse)
Lineage: Eukaryota; Metazoa; Chordata; Mammalia; Rodentia; Muridae
Description: lncRNA (ENSMSIG00000030819.1)
Source: RNAcentral